Molecule: unclassified non-coding RNA, 335 nt
Filed under: soil metagenome
Description: partial contains 5.8S ribosomal RNA, internal transcribed spacer 2, and large subunit ribosomal RNA
Rfam family: 5.8S ribosomal RNA (bases 1-119)
Source: RNAcentral
GAUGAAGAACGUAGCGAAAUGCGAUACGUAAUGUGAAUUGCAAAUUCAGUGAAUCAUCGAAUCUUUGAACGCACAUUGCGCCCCCUGGUAUUCCGGGGGGCAUGCCUGUCCGAGCGUCAUUGCAACCUUCAAGCGCGGCUUGUGUGUUGGGUCUCGUCCCCCGUGGACGGGCCCGAAAGGCAGUGGCGGCGUCCCGACAUGGUGCCCGAGCGUAUGGGAAUCCUCUUCCGCUCGAAUCGGCCCAUGCGGCGCUGGUCGUAACCAAAUUUUUUACCGGUUGACCUCGGAUCAGGUAGGGAUACCCGCUGAACUUAAGCAUAUCAAUAAGCGGAGGA